CGGAGGGUGCGAGCGUUGUUCGGAAUCACUGGGCGUAAAGCGCGUGUAGGCGGCCCACUUAGUCUGAUGUGAAAGCCCGGGGCUCACCCCCGGAAGUGCAUUGGAAACUGGUGGACUCGAGUCCCGGAGAGGAGAGUGGAAUUCCUGGUGUAGCGGUGAAAUGCGUAGAUAUCAGGAGGAACACCGGUGGCGAAGGCGGCUCUCUGGACGGUGACUGACGCUGAGACGCGAAAGCGUGGGGAGCAAACAGGAUUAGAUACCCUGGUAGUCCACGCCGUAAACGAUGAGCACUAGGUGUCGCGGGUAUUGACCCCUGCGGUGCCGACGCUAACGCAUUAAGUGCUCCGCCUGGGGAAUACGGCCGCAAGGUUA
RNAcentral lists this ribosomal RNA (372 nucleotides) under uncultured organism. Its description in RNAcentral is "bacterial SSU rRNA". It matches the Rfam family "Bacterial small subunit ribosomal RNA", at positions 526 to 896 of the family's 1533-position model. The record is from RNAcentral.